Molecule: small nuclear RNA, 103 nt
Filed under: Coturnix japonica (Japanese quail)
Lineage: Eukaryota; Metazoa; Chordata; Aves; Galliformes; Phasianidae
Source: RNAcentral
UGAAGUAUUUCAGUGUUAAAGCACUUAAGCAAUGAUACAGAGAAGAUUAGCAUGGCCUCUGCACAAGAUUGACACACAAAUUCAUGAAGUGUUCCAUAAAUUU